Long non-coding RNA from Coregonus clupeaformis (lake whitefish), 519 nucleotides. RefSeq lists it as uncharacterized. Lineage: Eukaryota; Metazoa; Chordata; Actinopteri; Salmoniformes; Salmonidae. The record is from RefSeq and is a predicted model, not a curated record. The transcript has 3 exons.
UAAUUGCUGUGAUGAGUUAUGCACAUAGAAUUAGAAUGUUCAAGGGAUUCUAAUUCUAAGGGGAUGCGUUUUAAUUGACUAUCAUGUUCAAAACCCAGUAUCCUGCAUCAUAAUAAAAUGAUGUCAUAAUUGCAUUCAAUUCUCAUCAUAGGUUCUAACCUUUGUGUUGGAGUGCAAACAGAUUAGGCUACUCAUAAAGAAAGGACUUGAAGCAUACUGAUGAUCCUAAAUUAACUGUGAAAUGUGUGAAUUAUUCGCCAUUUCAUCUCUUGAAUAAUUGUCCACAUUCAAGACAGUCAUCAUGGACUGUUUCUGUUUUCCUGCUCCAAUGAGAGUACAAUACCUUACUAGGCAGCCCACCGAGUCUCAGAAAGUGGGUCUCUUCAGAGAGAAGGUGACUCUGAUGUGGGAGGCUAUCAAAGUCCUGAAGAGUGACCAGGAAGCCAUGAUGGCUCAGCUCAAAAAGAGCCAGAAGAAACAGCAGAAGGAUGAGGAGCUGUUGCAUAAAAGCCAAUGGAA